UCCCGGCGCGUCCCGGCGCCGCCUGGUGGUGAGGAGCCGCCGUGAGCGCACAGCGCGAGCCUGCCAAGCGUGCGCCCACUUCCCGGAGGUGCGGACCUGCGAGCAGGCUUGCAGGCAUCUCCUGUAUGUCACACAUCCAAGGAGGAAACGCACCUGUGUGCAUCAGAGGGGGCUCUCCGUAGACUUCUCUCUUCCCACUGCACAGAGCUGCAGAGUUCUCUGGCAAUAUCUGAAGCAUUUUAAGCAAGUCGUCAAUCCAUUUCUACUGAGGAGUAUUGGAUGUGCCCCGGGGAGAGAAAGCUUGAGGCUGGUCCCCUGGCCCACAGUGAGUCCUCGUAUUGAUGCUGGAUGGACAGAGUGGACGCAAUGAUGCCCCAGCCUGACACUUCAUGACUCCAUGGCUGUGAUGCUUGGGCCGCACCAGAGAUUCCAAGACGGGAGAGUCCAUCCAUCCUUCAGCUCAAGUGAAAUCUUGGUCUGCAGCGGGGAGGGGAGAGAGCGGAAGAGGAAGCACAGAGAAGGAACAGUAUGUGAAGACAGUUCACAUCUCAGUAUGAAGAAACCCACCAGGCUCAAAUUCACUGGAAACCCAAUCUGAAGUAUUACUGUAUCCCCAGCAACCACAGCAACUAUAACCAGCACCAUCCCGACCACCACCACUGCUACCAGCAUGUAUCACGAGCUCACCGUGGACCACAUCUGGUGCCCCCAUGGCUGGAAUCCAUCGGUGUUCAAAUCCCUAGGUGAGAAAUCGCCAGCCAUUAAGUCAUCUGAUUGGCUAAACGUCCUAAGCAUCUGAAACUGAGAAGACAAUGUGCGUCUGCUUUUUUUGUUUUUCAUCCACACCAGAAAGUAAUGAAGCGGUGGUUGGGAAUUUUAAGCAGCAGCUUCAGUCAGGCUGGGUGGUUUAUAGAGAUCAACUUACCCCCUUGGAGUGCUCAGCAACCAACCAGAAGGCUUUCCCAAACCAAGCAAUUUUAUAAUUAAGUGAUAAUUGUUUUUUGGAGGGUUUUUUUUUCCCCUGGGUAGCCUAGAGAAAGAUAAACAGCUGCAGGAAUCAAUAAGCAUCAAGGUCAUAGGCUGAAUUAUUUACCAGUUCUCUGCUAUUUAUCUCAAACUUUCCUCUCUACAAGGAAAAAAUUGUGUCUACUUCACAUGAGAUUUAGAAUGUACCUGGUUUAGUUUCACAGUUGUUAUUACUGUCUUUACCUUUUUAUGACUGAGCAAAAUUGCUGUUUCGUGAAUAAAGUCUAGAGAGUGGGAGCAUGGAAGGGUCUGAUGCCAGGGUUCAUUCACUGGGCUGGGCCCUAAGCUGUAGGAAUACUGGGGUUGGGGGAUGGGCAGCAAAAGAUGCAGGCUGUGUGCACCUAGCCCCAUACAUUGCUUAUUUUCAUGAUUACUACAAUAUCUCCCUAACAGCCCUCCUCACCUUCUCGUUCUUAUCCCACCCACUAUGGAUGCUGCAAUCAGUCAAAAUGAUCUUUCCUAAACCCAAAUCUGUCAAUUCUCUAUGAAGAAGUCUCUAGGAUGAUCUAAAUCCACAUAAGGAAUCCAUCCGUACACUCCUUAUGGGUUUUGCAGCAUCGUUCCCCUCUGUGCACACCUGGCCUCAUGUCCUGCUACUCCCUGACUUCCUCACUAAAUUCCUGCCGUACUUCUUUGAGUUCUUCAAACCUACCACGCUCUAUCCCCUCAGGGUCACCUCAGCUGUUGGUCCUGCUGGAAUAAUAUCCUUCUCUUUCCCAGGGUAAGCCCAACUCAUCUACAUUCUAUUAGCCCCCCCUUUUAAGUCUGGGUGAUUGCCACUUCCUGGGUCCCCCCAGAGCACACAUCCCAACCCCCAUGACAUGUCUUGGGUCAUUUGAGAUGAAGGACCAUGCUUAUAUGAGCAUGUAUUAUAUCACUAAUAAUAGUUCAAUGUCUAGUCUAUAAUAGAUAGUCAAUACCUAUUUGUGCAGUUGAUGAAGGAAUCUCAUAAGUUACCUUGGGCCACGGAGAAGGAAAUGGGGCUCAGGGAAAGUGUUGCCUGGUAGAAUGUUGCUGUGAAAUUGUAACUAAGCCUCUCUGAAAAGCACCUUGCUUGCCUUCGGCUGAACCACACGCUAACAGAAAAUAGCUGUGAAGGUUUAAAGAAAGCACGAUACGCUAUAAAAAUUAAUAUUAAAACUC
Molecule: long non-coding RNA, 2169 nt
Organism: Balaenoptera musculus (blue whale)
Lineage: Eukaryota; Metazoa; Chordata; Mammalia; Artiodactyla; Balaenopteridae
Exons: 5
Source: RefSeq, a predicted model, not a curated record